Ailuropoda melanoleuca (giant panda) is the source of this 3377-nucleotide long non-coding RNA. RefSeq lists it as uncharacterized. Lineage: Eukaryota; Metazoa; Chordata; Mammalia; Carnivora; Ursidae. The transcript is spliced from 3 exons. The record is from RefSeq and is a predicted model, not a curated record.
GGCAGGCCCUGGGGUUGCAGGGCAGAGCACGCCUGGCCUCCACGUCCCGCUCCGCCAUUGGCUGGAGGCCCAGCGCUGGGGCCCAGCCCUCUCCUCAACGGCCGAGGAGCCAGUCGGCUUGGGGAGGGUGACCAACUUGGGGUCAGUGGCCAACUGUCCUGGUUCGCCGGAGAGUUGUAGAAAUACUCGCCCACGGUGAAAAACAGACAAGGAAAUCCUCCUCCUCCUCCUCGUCAUCAUCGUCAUUAUCGUCGUCGUCGUCGUCAUCGUCAUCAUCAUCAUCAUCCAGAGGAGGCUCUGGCUCACCUUAGGCCUUCGGUCCCGCUUUCUCUUUUACAAUGCUUUGUUUCACACAAGCCUACAAUAAACCUAUUAAGGACUCUUUUCAGAGGCCCCCCCCACCCCCCCCGUAACUUGUGAACUGCCUGGAAGAGGGCCUCGGCAUCCUUCUCAGGCUUCCUCGGCCACCACGUUGGCCCCUCCCACCUGCUCUUCACAAGCCUUGGAGAGGUCUGCAUCACAUCUCUUCUGUACAAUGCCCUUUGGUAGUUCCCACCUUCCUCAGAGUAAAAGCCUGGGAUCUGACUCCUGUCUAUCUCUCUGACCUCAACACCUAGGACACUUACCAUCACCUAGAACCACCCUGGUCCUCCUGGAUACCAUGCAAAUUUCCACUUCUGAGCCUUUACACUAGCUGUUCCUUCUGUCUGGAACACUAUUCCUUGAGAUCCUCUGAUGGCUUAUAUCCUCGCUUCUUUCACGCAGAUCUUCUAAGCUUAAAUGUCAUCUCUUCAGAGGGGCCUUCCUCUGACCACCCCAGUUACAAUAGCCUCCCCCCUCAACUCUCUUUUUAUGUGUAUUUUUCUUCAGAAAAGAAAAUAUGUCACUCACUCCCUGACGUAUUUAUUGUCUGCCUUCACCCAUAAGAAUGUCAGCUUCAUGGUGGCAGGAAUUUAUGUCUGAUGUGUUCACUGCUGCAUCCCUAGCCUGACACACAGUACAUGCUCAAUAAAUGUUCGUUCAAUGAACAGAGCAGGAGGAUAUGAGUGUCAUAAAGAGAUGUGGAGACUGUGGGACCUGGAGAAGAUAUGUCCACCCCAAACCAUUCACAUUAACACACACCCACACACACCCUCACACAUACACCGGGUUGUUGCCUGCAAGCCAAAGAGUUUGGGCUGCCAGUUUCCAUCUGAAUUUAUAAAUAUUAAAAAGCAUUAACAGGAAUAUAGGAUACAUGAUGGUUGGCACCUUACUGUGUAUAGUUUAAGGUUCUUCACAGUGUCAGUACCCCAGCAGCCAAAGGUCAGGAGCAUGAACCUGCCCUGAGUCAAGAAAGUUGGCAGUGAGGGGGGAACACACAGCACGGGGGACUGCGGGGUAUCGCAGUAAGAAAAAAGGUGUAUCAUAGGUUUUGGGCUUGUUAGGUGAUUUGGGGACAAUUCAAAGUGAAGUUUUACUCUAGGUUGAAUACUAUCCAGAAGUGGGGGUAAUUUUAUGAUUGGGUGUGCUAACACAUCUUCUCUAUAGAGAGGACUAGAAAGAGGCUAAAGCUGUAAUUGGCUAAGGAAAAAAAAAGCCACUCAUUAAUCAGGAUGGGGAUGUUCAGUUAAUUUCUGUGGUUUAGACAAUGUCUCUGAUGUUCUGUCUGUGUCCAGACAUGAUUUCGAGGUGGUCUUAAUUUUGUCUUAAUCCAUCAUGGUUACAGAAUGGCCUUCUCGGAUGUUGAUACUCUGUGAAAUUGUUUAUGUUCAACAGAAGAACACCAAAGCUUAACUGUGAAUACCAGGCCAGCUCCCAGAAGUUAGGGGCUGCUUUUCUCUUUCUCAGUAGACAUUACAAAACUACACAUCAGAAAGGUGGUGCCAAUUUCUCAGCACUGUAUAACAGUGCCUUUUUCUUCACAUUCUCUCCCACCUGUGUUCACACACACACACACACACACACACACACAUUUUUAUUUUAAUUCCAGUUAGUUAACAUUGUGUUAUAUUAGUUUUAGGUGUACAAUAUAGUGAUUCAAAAUUCCAUACAUCACCCGGUGCUCAUCACAAGUGUCCUUCUUAAUCCCCAUCACCUUUUUAACUCAUCCCCAUGCUUUCCCUCUGGUAACCAUCAUAUAUUUCAAUUUGGUAAGUGGUUUCCCCUGGGCUUUUAAAGGAUCUCUGAUUAUUACAGAGGUAAUAAUAAUUAUCACAGAGGUAAGCAUUUUUAUAUACUUAUUGCUCAUUUAUAUUUCUUCUUCUGUGAAUCACCUUUUCAUAUCUUUGCAUGUUUUUCUGUUGGGGAGUUUGUUUCUUAGUGAUUUGUAAGUUUCUUAGUGAUUUAUAAGUCUUAGUGAUUUGUAAGUGAUUGUAAAUUUAAGGAUUAACCCAUUGCCUGUUAUAGACAUUUCCCCCCCUAGAUUGUCAAUGUUUUUUAAAUUCUGUUCAUGGUGUUGCCAGCAUUUUAGUUGUCAAAUAUAUCAUUAUGAUAUAUUUUCCAUUAUGAUGUCUUUGUAGAUUUUAGCCUUAGAUUUUCCAUGACCCAGAUCAGUUAUUGUUUGCCCAUAUUUUCAUUUUGUGCUUUUAAAGAUCAUAGUUUUCACUCUUGAAUCUCCCAUUUGGAAUUUAUUUAGUGUGAAGUGCAGGGCAAAAUUUGUAUUUUUUACCCUCCCAAUACUGAGGCAAGUUUCCUAACCUUAACAUUGACAAAGCUAUUCCUUCCACAACUGGCUCUUGGCGCUUCAUUUUUUUGUACAGACCACAACAUGCUGAGUAUUCAUGGCUGAGGCCAUUUUGUCAGGUCUGCCUAUUUCAACUCGCAUUUUGUUUUGCAUAUCAGUUUGUCCCCCGAAGUCUUGAAGCCAGCCACACUUGCCUUUUUAUCCAAAUGGACACAAUACGUCUCUCCAUUUGCCUCUUUUAUGCUUCUCAUGAGUUUUGCCAUUUUCUUUCAUGAGUCCUAAACACUCCUUCUUAAGGUUAUUCUUUGGUAUUUUAUUAUUGUUGUGAAGAUAAUCUGUUUCUUGUUCAUUCUCUAACUGGUUAUUGCUUGUAUUUGAGAACAUGUUUAAUCUUGCUACCCCUGCCUGGUAAGUCUCUGUGCACCCACUGCCCCCUGUACUUUACUAACACCUGCCUCCUUCUCUCCACGCAGGGCCUUCUCAGUACUGUCAGUACAUGCUGGAACCAUCGAAGUCCUUGGAUCAGCUUUAACUGCUGGAUGGAGUAAAAACCAUGAGACUACUGGGUGAUCUGUGAACAGACUGGCAGACGACGAAACAAAACCAAAAUGGAUAGGAAGACUAUUCUGGAGAGCUAGUCAAAUUACUUGCUUGCUUACUGAAAUUUGUUAGGAAAAAAACUAGAACAUUAAAUGAAAUAAAAAUUUUAAAC